AGACCCGAAACCCGGUGAUCUAGCCAUGGGCAGGUUGAAGGUUGGGUAACACUAACUGGAGGACCGAACCGACUAAUGUUGAAAAAUUAGCGGAUGACCUGUGGCUGGGGGUGAAAGGCCAAUCAAACCGGGAGAUAGCUGGUUCUCCCCGAAAGCUAUUUAGGUAGCGCCUCGUGAAUUCAUCUCCGGGGGUAGAGCACUGUUUCGGCUAGGGGGCCAUCCCGGCUUACCAACCCGAUGCAAACUGCGAAUACCGGAGAAUGUUAUCACGGGAGACACACGGCGGGUGCUAACGUCCGUCGUGAAGAGGGAAACAACCCAGACCGCCAGCUAAGGUCCCAAAGUCAUGGUUAAGUGGGAAACGAUGUGGGAAGGCCCAGACAGCCAGGAUGUUGGCUUAGAAGCAGCCAUCAUUUAAAGAAAGCGUAAUAGCUCACUGGUCGAGUCGGCCUGCGCGGAAGAUGUAACGGGGCUAAACCAUGCACCGAAGCUGCGGCAGCGAACGUAUCACCCAAGACAACUUUACGGAGUUGACGAUUGACGGAGCGAAGCGACGUCAAAGCGUUCAUUAAAGUCGAGUUGGCUUAGGGAUACGUUCGUUGGGUAGGGGAGCGUUCUGUAAGCCUGUGAAGGUGUGUCGUGAGGCAUGCUGGAGGUAUCAGAAGUGCGAAUGCUGACAUAAGUAACGAUAAAGCGGGUGAAAAGCCCGCUCGCCGGAAGACCAAGGGUUCCUGUCCAACGUUAAUCGGGGCAGGGUGAGUCGACCCCUAAGGCGAGGCCGAAAGGCGUAGUCGAUGGGAAACGGGUUAAUAUUCCCGUACUUGGUGUUACUGCGAAGGGGGGACGGAGAAGGCUAUGUUGGCCGGGCGACGGUUGUCCCGGUUUAAGCGUGUAGGUGUGUGUUCCAGGUAAAUCCGGUUCACUUUAACACUGAGGCGUGAUGACGAGGCACUACGGUGCUGAAGCAACAAAUGCCCUGCUUCCAGGAAAAGCCUCUAAGCAUCAGGUAACAUCAAAUCGUACCCCAAACCGACACAGGUGGUCAGGUAGAGAAUACCAAGGCGCUU
Molecule: ribosomal RNA, 1067 nt
Filed under: Salmonella enterica subsp. enterica serovar Typhimurium
Lineage: Bacteria; Pseudomonadati; Pseudomonadota; Gammaproteobacteria; Enterobacterales; Enterobacteriaceae
Description: partial 23S ribosomal RNA
Rfam family: Bacterial large subunit ribosomal RNA
Source: RNAcentral